RNAcentral lists this unclassified non-coding RNA (333 nucleotides) under uncultured Gigasporaceae. Its description in RNAcentral is "sequence contains 18S rRNA gene". RNAcentral also lists the same sequence under 1 other name. The record is from RNAcentral. Lineage: Eukaryota; Fungi; Glomeromycota; Glomeromycetes; Diversisporales; Gigasporaceae.
CCCAACUAUCCCUAUUAAUCAUUACGGUGAUUCAGAAACCAACAAAACAGGACCACCGUCCUAUUCUAUUAUUCCAUGCUAAUGUAUUCAGACGUAAGCCUGCUUUGAACACUCUAAUUUUUUCAAGGUAAAGGUCCUGGUUUCCCACCACGCUAAAUUAAUAACAUGAUGGUUCCCCAGAAGGUAAGAAUUCUACACGCUAGUACAGACCGGAUAGCCCGACCAACGGUAAAAUCCUGAAAUUCAACUACGAGCUUUUUAACUGCAACAACUUUAAUAUACGCUAUUGGAGCUGGAAUUACCGCGGCUGCUGGCACCAGACUUGCCCUCCAA